This 211-nucleotide long non-coding RNA is filed under the name Elaeis guineensis (African oil palm). Its description in RNAcentral is "long non-coding RNA (EGUI_LNC045984)". Lineage: Eukaryota; Viridiplantae; Streptophyta; Magnoliopsida; Arecales; Arecaceae. The record is from RNAcentral.
UAUCUACAAAGUUUAUUAUAGAAAUUGACAUGAUAUUGAUCAAGUGCAUAUUGAUGCUUAUGGUAUAUUUGAAUAGUGUUGCUUUGUUGUGCUAUCCACAAGGACAGCAUUGUUUAAGUAUAACCAUAUGAUUUGAAGGAUCAACUUAACUAGAAUACUAUAGUUUGUUGUGCUAUCCACAAGACUAUAUGUGAUCUAAAGAUUAGAGUGA